This 253-nucleotide ribosomal RNA is filed under the name uncultured bacterium. Its description in RNAcentral is "partial 16S ribosomal RNA". It matches the Rfam family "Bacterial small subunit ribosomal RNA", at positions 524 to 776 of the family's 1533-position model. The record is from RNAcentral.
UACGGGGGGGGCAAGCGUUGUUCGGAAUUACUGGGCGUAAAGGGCGCGUAGGCGGCCUACUAAGUCGGACGUGAAAUCCCUCGGCUCAACCGAGGAACUGCGUCCGAUACUGGCAGGCUGGAAUCCGGGAGAGGGAUGUGGAAUUCCAGGUGUAGCGGUGAAAUGCGCAGAUAUCAGGAAGAACACCUAUGGCGAAAGCAGCUCUCUGGGACGGUACUGACGCUGAGACGCGAAAGCGUGGGGAGCGAACAGG